Molecule: non-coding RNA, 320 nt
Organism: Paramuricea clavata
Lineage: Eukaryota; Metazoa; Cnidaria; Anthozoa; Malacalcyonacea; Plexauridae
Source: the annotation of a GenBank genome assembly
AAAUGGGUUGGGAUAAAACGCGGAUACAGACGGACGGACGAAAACGCGGACGGACAGGCGGAUGGACGGAUGGACAAAAAGGGAUAAAAUGCGGAUGCGGACAAAAGGGAUAAAAUGCGGAUGCGGACAAAAGGGAUAAAAUGCAGAUGCGGACAAAAAGGAUAAAAUGCGGAUGCGGACAAAAAGGAUAAAAUGCAGGUGCGGACAAAAAGGAUAAAAUGCGGACUGUUUCAUUGCCCUAACAUAAUUCGUUAUUUCGGAGACACAAUUCAUAGACGUAGUACACUGUAAAUUCCAGCUGGAGUUUCAGCCGCUUGCCG